UCCACGAAUGCGGAUCUAAGACUAGUCUCAGACCCCGAUCCCUUUUCCUGUUGGCUAUUUAUAUUCAAGCGGCAUUAGAAUACAUUUGAAAAUUUAAAAUAACAAGUUGUUAUUGUUUUGUUAAAAAAUAUCUUAGUUUUGUUUUUAAAUAAUUUAGAGCAACGAGGAAACUUCUUCAAUGUUCACACUACAGCUUGGGAAUACUUGGCCACAAUCGCAUCUUCGUGGCCGAAGCUUGCCGUCGUUGCCGCUAUAUGUGCUGCUCUGUAUCAAAUUAUGCCAAGCAGUUAUGCAUCUCAGCCGUUGGAAGAUAAAGAUUUAUACACAGUGGACGAUCUUAUGACAUUUAUGGCAACCGGGUUUCCAGACCAAAAAAGUAA
Non-coding RNA from Styela clava, 380 nucleotides. Lineage: Eukaryota; Metazoa; Chordata; Ascidiacea; Stolidobranchia; Styelidae. The record is from RefSeq and is a predicted model, not a curated record.